UGGGAUUAGAUACCCCACUAUGCCAUACCGUAAACCCCACUUACAUUUCAUACGCCAGGGUACUACGAGCUUUAGCUUAAAACCCAAAGGAUUUGACGGUGUUCCAUCCAACUAGAGGAGCCUGUUCUAUAAUCGAUUUCCCACGAUCCACCUAACCAUUUUUUGCCUAUCAGCCUGUAUACCUCCGUCGUAAGCUUACCAUAUGAAUGAAAAAAAGUGGGCUAAAGGACUUAGAGCCAAAACGUCAGGUCAAGGUGCAGCUUAUGAAAUGGAAAGAAAUGAGCUACAAUUUCUAACAUAGAACACACGAAUUACUUCAUGAAACAAAGUUAUGAAGGCGGAUUUAGCAGUAAGUAGGGAAUAGAGAGCCUUACUAAAUCUGGCUAUGGAACGUGUACACACCGCCCGUCACCC
This 414-nucleotide ribosomal RNA is filed under the name Polypedates colletti (black-spotted tree frog). RNAcentral describes it as "partial 12S ribosomal RNA". It matches the Rfam family "Bacterial small subunit ribosomal RNA", at positions 773 to 1402 of the family's 1533-position model. The record is from RNAcentral. Lineage: Eukaryota; Metazoa; Chordata; Amphibia; Anura; Rhacophoridae.